UAGGGAAUCUUCCGCAAUGGGCGAAAGCCUGACGGAGCAACGCCGCGUGAGUGAUGAAGGUCUUCGGAUCGUAAAACUCUGUUAUUAGGGUAGAACAAAUGUGUAAGUAACUAUGCACGUCUUGACGGUACCUAAUCAGAAAGCCACGGCUAACUACGUGCCAGCAGCCGCGGUAAUACGUAGGUGGCAAGCGUUAUCCGGAAUUAUUGGGCGUAAAGCGCGCGUAGGCGGUUUUUUAAGUCUGAUGUGAAAGCCCACGGCUCAACCGUGGAGGGUCAUUGGAAACUGGAAAACUUGAGUGCAGAAGAGGAACGUGGAAUUCCAUGUGUAGCGGUGAAAUGCGCAGCGAUAUGGAGGAACACCAGUGGCGAAGGCGACUUUCUGGUCUGUAACUGACGCUGAUGUGCGAAAGCGUGGGUAUCAAACAGG
Molecule: ribosomal RNA, 429 nt
Filed under: Actinomycetes bacterium
Lineage: Bacteria; Bacillati; Actinomycetota; Actinomycetes
Description: Actinobacteria bacterium partial 16S ribosomal RNA
Rfam family: Bacterial small subunit ribosomal RNA
Source: RNAcentral